AACGAACGCUGGCGGCAUGCCUAACACAUGCAAGUCGAACGAAGCCUUCGGGCUUAGUGGCGCACGGGUGCGUAACGCGUGGGAUUCUGCCCUUGGGUUCGGAAUAACAGUUAGAAAUGACUGCUAAUACCGAAUGAUGUCUUCGGACCAAAGAUUUAUCGCCCAAGGAUGAGCCCGCGUCGGAUUAGCUAGUUGGUGAGGUAAAGGCUCACCAAGGCGACGAUCCGUAGCUGGUCUGAGAGGAUGAUCAGCCACACUGGGACUGAGACACGGCCCAGACUCCUACGGGAGGCAGCAGUGGGGAAUAUUGGACAAUGGGCGAAAGCCUGAUCCAGCAAUGCCGCGUGAGUGAUGAAGGCCUUAGGGUUGUAAAGCUCUUUUACCCCGGGAUGAUAAUGACAGUACCGGGAGAAUAAGCCCCGGCUAACUCCGUGCCAGCAGCCGCGGUAAU
This 451-nucleotide ribosomal RNA is filed under the name uncultured bacterium. RNAcentral's name for it is "bacterial SSU rRNA". It matches the Rfam family "Bacterial small subunit ribosomal RNA", at positions 29 to 524 of the family's 1533-position model. The record is from RNAcentral.